AGCUGAAUGCUAGGAUUGAAUAUGCAAAGUUUCUACAAGAAACAGUCAAAGAGAUGGCAAAGGAAGUUAAAAACUCUCGAAGCGGAGAACUAAAGAAUACAGCUGAGGAUCUUGAUGAAUUCAUGAAUAAGGUCAGAAGGGGUGCUAGUGUAUCUAAUGAGGAAAUUUUAGGAUUCGCCAAGCUUUUCAAUGAUGAGCUCACACUGGAUAAUAUCAGCAGACCGAGGUUGGUGAAUAUGUGCAAAUAUAUGGGUAUUAACCCCUUUGGAACUGAUGCAUACUUGCGCUUCAUGCUUAGAAAGAGGCUCCAAAAGAUCAAGAACGAUGACAAGAUGAUUCAAGCAGAGGGUGUUGAGUCCCUUUCAGAGGACGAGCUCCGUCAAGCCUGUCGAGAACGAGGCUUACUUGGAUUACUCUCAGUAGAAGAAAUGCGACAGCAGUUGCGAGAUUGGCUGGACUUAUCACUCAACCAUUCAGUGCCAUCUUCUUUAUUAAUCCUUUCUAGAGCCUUCACAGUGUCAGGCAAAGUAAAACCAGAGGAAGCUGUUCAAGCUACACUUUCAUCACUGCCAGAUGAGGUGGUCGACACUGUUCAAGUUACAUCUUUGCCAUCUGAAGAUGCUCUUGCUGAAAAGAAGAGAAAGCUAGAGUUCUUAGAAAUGGAGGAAGAGCUCAUCAAGG
RNAcentral lists this unclassified non-coding RNA (681 nucleotides) under Hevea brasiliensis (rubber tree). Lineage: Eukaryota; Viridiplantae; Streptophyta; Magnoliopsida; Malpighiales; Euphorbiaceae. The record is from RNAcentral.